Molecule: ribosomal RNA, 459 nt
Filed under: uncultured bacterium
Lineage: Bacteria
Description: partial 16S ribosomal RNA
Rfam family: Bacterial small subunit ribosomal RNA
Source: RNAcentral
CCUACGGGAGGCAGCAGUGAGGAAUAUUGGUCAAUGGGCGGAAGCCUGAACCAGCCAAGUAGCGUGCGGGAUGAAGGCCCUACGGGUCGUAAACCGCUUUUGCACGGGGAUAACACCCUCCACGUGUGGCGGUCUGCAGGUAACGUGCGGAUAAGGGCCGGCUAAUUCCGUGCCCGCAGCCGCGGUAAUACGGAAGGCCCGAGCGUUAUCCGGAUUUAUUGGGUUUAAAGGGUGCGCAGGCGGCCUAUUAAGUUAGCGGUAAAAUCCCGGGGCUCAACCCCGGCGAGCCGUUGAAACUGGCGGGCUGGAGUUGGAGAGAAGUACGCGGAAUGCGCGGUGUAGCGGUGAAAUGCUUAGAUAUCGCGCAGAACCCCGAUUGCGAAGGCAGCGUACCGGCGCCACACUGACGCUGAGGCACGAAAGCGUGGGUAUCGAACAGGAUUAGAUACCCGGGUAGUC